UACGGAGGAUGCGAGCGUUAUCCGGAUUUAUUGGGUUUAAAGGGUGCGUAGGCGGCGAGUUAAGUCAGCGGUGAAAAGCCCGGGGCUCAACCCCGGCCCCGCCGUUGAAACUGGCUGGCUUGAGUUGGGGAAAGGCAGGCGGAAUGCGCGGUGGUAGCGGUGAAAUGCAUAGAUAUCAGGAGGAACACCGGCGGCGAAGGCGGCCUGCUGGACCGCGACUGACGUUGAGGCUCGAAAGCGUGGGGAGCGAACAGG
RNAcentral lists this ribosomal RNA (255 nucleotides) under uncultured bacterium. RNAcentral's name for it is "partial 16S ribosomal RNA". It matches the Rfam family "Bacterial small subunit ribosomal RNA", at positions 524 to 776 of the family's 1533-position model. The record is from RNAcentral.